UCUCUCUCUUUCUCACCAGAUUUGAGGGCGACGGCGGACGAUGAGGACGAUGACGGACACCGGCGAGCGACGACUCUAUUCCAGCACAGUCCAAAUUUCCAGCCAACACACAUAUCGCUAUAGUUUAUCACAGAGUGAAUUCCGUUCCAGAUUUGCACUUUUCCUUCUACGUUUUUGAGAUGACUUCAUCGACAAAAUGUUUGUGCUGAACGAUUAUACAAGGUUUUUGGCCCUUCAGCUCAGCAAAGGGAUCUUUAUGAUCAAGCAGUUGUUCCAAUUGUUAAUGAAGUUUUGGAGGAUUUCAAUUGUACCAUUUUUGCAUAUGGACAAGUUAAUUUUAUAGGCUUUUCACUCAGUUGGCUGGGAUUUCAUCAUGGACAUUCUCGUAGCCAACAAUACUCCUACCCACUUGCUUACAAGUCUAAUUAUUUGACAGGGAUGGGCUAGGAGCGCAUCAUUGGGCAGGCUUCUUCCAUCAGCUUUAAACAUUAACCUUUUGGCAUGAAGAACUUGCAAUCCAAAGACUUUUGCUUUGUCU
Rhododendron vialii is the source of this 538-nucleotide long non-coding RNA. RefSeq lists it as uncharacterized. The record is from RefSeq and is a predicted model, not a curated record. The transcript has 4 exons. NCBI's taxonomy places the organism in Eukaryota, Viridiplantae, Streptophyta, Magnoliopsida, Ericales, Ericaceae.